RNAcentral lists this ribosomal RNA (466 nucleotides) under uncultured bacterium. RNAcentral describes it as "partial 16S ribosomal RNA". It matches the Rfam family "Bacterial small subunit ribosomal RNA", at positions 30 to 507 of the family's 1533-position model. The record is from RNAcentral.
CGAACGCUGGCGGCGUGCUUACCACAUGCAAGUCGAACGGAAAGGCCCUGCUUUUGUGGGGUGCUCGAGUGGCGAACGGGUGAGUAACACGUGAGUAACCUGCCCUUGACUUUGGGAUAACUUCAGGAAACUGGGGCUAAUACCGGAUAGGAGCUCCUGCUGCAUGGUGGGGGUUGGAAAGUUUCGGCGGUUGGGGAUGGACUCGCGGCUUAUCAGCUUGUUUGUGGGGUAGUGGCUUACCAAGGCUUUGACGGGUAGCCGGCCUGAGAGGGUGACCGGCCACAUUGGGACUGAGAUACGGCCCAGACUCCUACGGGAGGCAGCAGUGGGGAAUAUUGCACAAUGGGCGGAAGCCUGAUGCAGCAACGCCGCGUGCGGGAUGACGGCCUUCGGGUUGUAAACCGCUUUCGCCUGUGACGAAGCGUGAGUGACGGUAAUGGGUAAAGAAGCACCGGCUAACUACGUG